UUAAUUGCGAUCUGCAUAACAUCCGGUAUAUAGUCCUUCUCCCUAUAUAAGCUACAAUGGAACGCAUUCGAUAUCAAAAUCAUGAAGCUGUUCUAUCUAUUGGCGUUCUUUCUGGUCUUCGUUUUUGGGAUUAAUGCCCAAAAUGACAAUCAACAUCCUGGUCCUGGAGACCGACCACCGAAUGGUCCUCCAUCUGGCGAGAGAAGUCCAAGAUCGAGUUUCAUGUAAAUGACGGCCGCAUAACCCCGUAACGGAUAGUCAAUAAAGCACACGCACUCUACAAUUAUUUCGUCUUAUAGAAAACAAAAUUCGAACGAUAAGAUGUCUUUAAAGAUCUUCAAGAACUUCAAGAGCCUUGAAAUAUCCUUGAAUAUGCUUUGCGUUUUAAUAGCGCUUAAGGGUCUAUAAGGAUCUUCAAGAAACUUUAA
This is a long non-coding RNA of Photinus pyralis (common eastern firefly), 428 nucleotides long. RefSeq lists it as uncharacterized. The record is from RefSeq and is a predicted model, not a curated record. The transcript has 2 exons. NCBI's taxonomy places the organism in Eukaryota, Metazoa, Arthropoda, Insecta, Coleoptera, Lampyridae.